Non-coding RNA from Ceratotherium simum simum (southern white rhinoceros), 170 nucleotides. The record is from RefSeq and is a predicted model, not a curated record. Lineage: Eukaryota; Metazoa; Chordata; Mammalia; Perissodactyla; Rhinocerotidae.
GCAUAUUUGACAAUUGUCCCAUAAAAUUAUUACCAUAGAGCCCAGGUGUAUAGUAAGCUGUACCAUCUAGGUUUGUGUAAGUAGUGUAUGAUGUUCGCACAACAAUGAAAUUGCCUAAUGAUGCAUUUGUCAGAACAUGUUCCCGUCGUUAAGUGACGCGUGACUGUAGU